Non-coding RNA from Camellia sinensis, 2048 nucleotides. NCBI's taxonomy places the organism in Eukaryota, Viridiplantae, Streptophyta, Magnoliopsida, Ericales, Theaceae. The record is from RefSeq and is a predicted model, not a curated record.
GAUGGCUGUCCCAUUGUUUGCAUCUGAGAACUGGUUGUACUUUGUCAGUUGAUCAAUCAAUUUUGUGCAGACGGUCUGAGGGAUGCUCACGUGGUUAAUCAUGGCUUAAGGUUUUUAUACUGGUUUUUCUUUGCUGUUUUGUUCCUUCAUCUUAUACAAGAAUGUAGCAUGAUUUGGGAAGAAAAUGGAAAGAGAGAAGGGGGACAAAAUUUACAACCCACCACAAAUUAAUGGGUCAAUCUGCAAGUGGAAAUGUAAUUGGACUGUUUGUCGUGUUUUUAUAGUCUUGUACAGUCAAAAGGGGAUUGAUUUUGUAAAAGAUGAGAUCAGUUUUAUGCCUGUGGCUUAGUCGCAGUUAAAUUUAGUAGUUCUCCUACUUAGUGCAGUCCUUCCCAGGGUAAGUGUGCAAAUACGCUUGUUGGGGUUCUGUUCGAUAACCAUUUAUCUUGUGACUAGUUUUUUUUUUAAAAUAUAGAAAAUAGAAAACCUUUAUAUAUAUUCUGGAAAUCUAUCAUACCCUGUUUAUAAUGGAACAGAGUUAAUUUAUUUUGUGGAUGAGGACACAGAAAUUGAUGCUUCAGCACACUGUUACAUUAUUUGGACUGUCAAGUUUAGUAGUUAAUAAGUUGUAAACAUGAUGAUCUUAUGAUAUUCAUUUCGUGUAAUUUUGUUUAAUUUGUAAUCUUGUAUGAUUUCUUAUGUAAAUUUUGCAGGUCAGCAAUUAGAAUAAUUUUUAGUCAGUUUAGUAGCAAUGGCUUAAGUUUUAAGGGAGGGGCAAAGAUCUGAUAAGGGCAACUAGUUUUACCCCUUUUUGCCAUUAACACCUCUGAAUUAACUUAUUGACUCCUUGUGGCAUCAUGGAAUACUUGCAGUUGAGUUGAUGCCAUGCAAGUUAGCUCUAAAUCUUAUUAGAUUUCACUUUGUUUACAACUUUGCUAAUGCCCCAGAAUCUGCUCGAAUGGAUUGGUCCGCAUUCACCAAGGGCUACUUCUUGAAUAGAGAAACUCUGGUUGCCGUCCUACUUGUAAUUGAUGCGAGUGUAUCACCUCAGAAGAUCGACCUUGACUGUGCUAAUUGGCUUGGACAGAACAAUGAAGAUUGCUUUUGAAGAUGAUGAGGAUCAGCGCAUCGUACAAAGGGCUUGGGAAGGUCUUAUUCCAAACCGUAUUUUGAUAUAUUGCUUUGAGUGGAUCUGCAACAAAAGUUGGGAAGUCUACCACCAAUGCGAAUAGGGCUUCCUUGGGAGAGAGGUUGUAUGCCUUGAUUAACAAGGAUUCUAGGAACGAGGACACAUCUGAUAGUGAACAUAAGCAAACCCUGCCUGACAAGCGUGUUGGAAAGGAAAUGAGCAGUUCAGUGCCUCUAGAUGAUAAUAGAAAACGGAGGUCCCAGGAUUGGUUAAUGUUGACUUUGCAGAUAUGCGAGCUAUCAUGGAAAAUGCAGGGUCAUCUCUAAUGGGAAUAGGAACUGCAACUGGAGGGAGGAUUGAGUUCUUACUUGCAUGAUAUUUUCGGAAUUAUUGGUUUUCUAUAUUUUUUUUUCCUGCUUUUAACUUUAUUUUUCUGUUUAAUAUCUGAAAUUUCUGGUUUUUUCUCAUAGCAUGAUCAAAUUAGGAAGAUGAGGAAAGUAGACCAAUUUUUUUUGGGUACAAGAAAGAAGUUGACAUGCAUGCCUAUAUUGAUAAAUUGUUGGUUUCUUAUUCCUUUGCAGGCAAGACUAGGGCAAGAGAUGUUGCAUUGAAUGCCAUUCAAUCACCUUUAUUAGAUGUUGGUAUAGAAAGAGCUACUGGACCCCACUUUUCUGUUUGUUUGUUAUUAAAUCCCGCACCCCACUUUUUUCUUUUCUUAGCUAUUUUCAUUAGCAUGAACUGAACACCUUCCAAACCUUCCAAAUUAUAGGGAAAAAAAGAAAAAGAAAAACUAAAGUACGUUAUAUUAUUCUGUUUCUAAUAAAUAAUUGAUCACAUUAUUGUUGUGUACCUUUGUUUAUGUCAAUGAUUAUAUCCCAAGCACUAUUGGUUGGUCAUGUCACGUGAUUGUAUUUUGCAU